GAUGAACGCUAGCUACAGGCUUAACACAUGCAAGUCGAGGGGAAACGAUAUUGGAAGCUUGCUUCUGAUAGGCGUCGACCGGCGCACGGGUGAGUAACGCGUAUCCAACCUGCCCAUCACUUGGGGAUAACCUUGUGAAAGUAAGACUAAUACCCAAUGACGUCUCUAGAAGACAUCUGAAAGAGAUUAAAGAUUUAUCGGUGAUGGAUGGGGAUGCGUCUGAUUAGCUUGUUGGCGGGGUAACGGCCCACCAAGGCGACGAUCAGUAGGGGUUCUGAGAGGAAGGUCCCCCACAUUGGAACUGAGACACGGUCCAAACUCCUACGGGAGGCAGCAGUGAGGAAUAUUGGUCAAUGGACGAGAGUCUGAACCAAGCCAAGUAAGCGUGCAGGAUGACGGCCC
Molecule: ribosomal RNA, 402 nt
Filed under: uncultured bacterium
Lineage: Bacteria
Description: bacterial SSU rRNA
Rfam family: Bacterial small subunit ribosomal RNA
Source: RNAcentral